This is a long non-coding RNA of Lolium perenne, 4044 nucleotides long. RefSeq lists it as uncharacterized. The record is from RefSeq and is a predicted model, not a curated record. NCBI's taxonomy places the organism in Eukaryota, Viridiplantae, Streptophyta, Magnoliopsida, Poales, Poaceae.
CGUCUCUGCUCCGCCCCGCACGCGGACAAAUGGGCCAAGCCCAAUAAAGCACAGUAACCAUCACCUCCCCUGACCACGUCCUAGAUUUCGAGAAAUCCACAGACCCUCGCACCCUCCUCCAGAGAUCUUGGGUGCCCUAACAUGCGUGGCCGGGGAGGAUCCCGACCGAAAGGAAUGGGUCGGUCUCCCGACGGCGAGGUAGGAGGGACGUAGGAGCGAGCGAAGAUCCGGCCAAGCCGGCGCCAUUGGUCAUGGCCGCGGCGGCAGCGACGACCCCAUCCAAGUCCGCCUUCCGUGGUGGUCCUAUUCCUUCCAGCUCGCUCCGAGAGGGGAUCCGACCGCCUCUCCUUCAUCACCGGUCAGGCGAGCAUCCUCCCCUCCGACCCAUACCGAUGUAACCACAGGGGAGCAAAAUUAUUUUGGGGGAUUCGGAAGCUUGUGCGUGCACGCCAGAUUGGAUUAGACUGCAGCUGCGUUGGAUAACUUAGUCCUGUUUCAUGUUAUUUAAAGUGCUCAUGUGCUCUAGAUCUCUUCGAUUGGUUAGCAGAUUUAGAUUUUAGAACAUCUGGUGCCACAUAUAUUACACGUUUCGUCCUGCGGAAUCUUAGGUUUCAGAUCACUGGACAUGAGAUUUUGUUAUUUAGAGUGUUGGCAGCGGAGGAUUUAUUGGAUGCAUAACCCGAUUCUCUUUAGAUAUUCUUUUGCGUUACACUUUUCUUAUCAGUAUGCAAAGGUGUGUUAAUGUUUUGUUGUAUUGAUAAACCUUCUCCCAAAUAUAUGUAUUUGAGCUGUACGUGAGGCUCGUACUAAUAAGUCUGAAAAGAAUGUGAGCCCUCCUCCCGAGUCACUAUUGCUAUGAGAUGUGUCUUGUUACCUGCACUUCUUUUUCUAGCACUUAGAGAGAUGUGCAUGCUUAAACAUUAAGUUUGGGAUUUGGUGGACGUCAAAUAGCUCAAAUUUACGCACAGUAUGACUCAGUUUACUCUUUUGAUACGUCCAGAAUAUCUGGUGUUGACAUGGAAGAAGCCCCUAUGCCGGCACUUCCAAGUUUCAGGUUUUCAUCUACCUUAAUCUCCCAUGGUACUAUAUCGAUGAUACAGAAUGCCAGCUUGGAUGGUUGGACCUCUUUGAUGUGCUAGAACAUUGUGGAAUCUGGGAUUGAGUUAGUACCAGAUAUCGUCUUCUUCAGGACCCCUACAUCUUUGAGAUCCUUACAUGUAGGAACGUGAAGUAGGUCUGGCAGGACGGACAGAGGGAAGGUGAGGAAAGCUCCCUAAGCCGAAGGAGAGAUGGUGCCCGGAGGAGCACUAGCGCUUCCUCGACAGUCUCCUCAGGUUUGACCGCGCCUAGAAGAAGAUCGAGGAGCACAUCUGCACCAAGACCGUGGUACUGGUAAUCCAAAUUCAUUCCCGCUCAUUAUGUAGAAGCUUGGCCUUGCCACCAGGCUUCCGCCGCAAUACCCAAGCCGCAGGCUUGCCGUGCCGCAGCCGCCGCAGAGCUCGCCAGCGGUUCUGCACGAGCACCCGCAACACUGCCCAACUGAUGUGGUUUAGAGUCCCAAUGGCUGGGUUAGAAAUAAUUUAGUUCAGUGUCCAUAGGGUUCAGAUAAGAUCACUUUUCACACCAAUAUCGAAAUUCAGAACCAACUGAAUAAAAUGUGAAUCAGUAAUGCACACUAAGUGAUAAAAUUUCACAAUAUAACGAAAUUCACAACCGACUGAAUAAAAUGUGAAUCAGUAAUGCACACUAAGUGAUACGAUUUCACAAUAUUCAUCAUCCAUGGAUUACUAAAUUCACAGUGAGUGAUCCAUGUUUGUUCAGUUACAACUGUCUUCAGAUAUCUAAACCUACACGCUCCCAUUGACUGAAACUUGCUGGUAUGUAAUGGCUGCACAACUAUCUUCAGUUACAAUUAUUUUCAUAUCCAAUUGGAAGCACACAAAGACUUGAACUAAUUUAAGUAGUAGAGAUUUCUAAUUUUUAUAUAGAAGAAAAUUAUUUACCUAUGUUUUGUAAUUCCUAACUCCUAAGCAGGAGAUGUCUAUGGCACUUUUAGAAUCCAACUCCCUUAAAUAUGGUCAUCAUUUCAUGUAUACUUCUCAUAUGGUAUGUCAGCGCUUACAUGCUAAGGAUUCAUCGAACUGUGACAAGCUGAUAGUGUAAAUUCACUAGGAAUGAUGGUUGAGAAUAAAUUUGAAAGGAUAAAUCACCUGAUGAAGUUCUACACUGCUUUCAACACAACAAAUGAAAUGUUUAUUUCACGCUAUUCGCUCACUACGAUCGACAUAUACUACUCAGCAUUUAGAUAAAGUGUGAGCUGAGAUUAAGAGAUUCAAAAGUGUCCGUUUAGAUUAUCUAGAGUUUGGAAAAAAUAGGCCAGUCUUGAAGCAUGGUCACCAAAUAAGAUUUUUUUACUGACAUACUAAUAGCAUUAUGUUAACGACUUGUGACAUAUCAUUGCUUUCCAAGCAUGUAUCGCUAACAGUGUUUAGUAUUAAUCAUUUGUGACCUGAAUUCUUGAUUGAUCCAUAUUAUUUAUUCAAACUAUCACUUAAUUCAUGAUGUCUGUAGAAGCUUGCAGGGGUACUACAUGAGCUCACAUUAGUUGUUUCCGUGCCAAUGGACCUUACAGUGAAACUCCUGAGGGCGAAGCACGCACCAAGGCAAACGAUCAGGAGAGGUGGAGAUCAUCACAACUAUCUCAGUUCAGCAGGAAGAGUGAUUACAAUGAAACGACCAGGCCAGUGUGGUGUCACCUGCGGCCCACAGGAAACAAUCUUAGAAAGUGACAAUAAGAAAUGGAUAAACUUAGAUGCAUAUCCUAAUAUGCCAAUUGGUAAAAAAAAUAGCAAUAUUAUGUUACUCCCUCCGAUCCAUAUUAAUUGACUUCAAUAUAGAUGUAUCUAGAACUAAAAUGUGUCUAGAUACAUCCAUAUUAGAGUCAAUUAAUAUGAACCGGAGGGACUGAGCUUAAUUUGCCACGUUUGCCAUAGACCUAGCCAUCUGUUUUUACCGGCUGAUAGCCUGAUACACAUUUUCACCUUCAAAGCGUGGACAGGGACCAUUGUGUUCCUCAGUUGAGGCAGUUUUCCAUCUUCUCUGAUCAACCAAUUAUUGCAUCUUAUUCUCAUAGGUCUCUCAUUUAAUAUGGUACUGUUUUCUUUUCUGAUUCAUUUAAUUUUUGGACACGUCAUUGUUAGCUGAUUUUUUCUCUUUAGAUUUUCUUCUAAAUUUACUACUGAUUCUCGUUAGUGCAUUUCCAUAUAUCUAAACAUGGAAUCUGGGACAUGAACCAUGCAAACUGAAACUAUGUUUGGCCCAAUAGGAGUGUCAACUACUGAAUUUAAUUGUCAGCAAACAUGCAAUGGCUGUGUUAUCUAUAUUUUCUGUUAGUAACCAUUUCCAUGCUAUACUAUAGCCCUCUAUUUUCUUCUGUCUUUAUACUGCUUCUGAUUGUUUCAAUCACCUUACUCUGCAAUGACUAUGGUCUCUGUGAAAUCAGCUCUUCCUUUGCUUUUCUAAUUUUUAUUUAUUCGUCAGGUUACCAAAGAUAAGCUUAUGGUCUUUGCUUAUAAUAAGAAUAUAAGGUGCAACAAAUCUCAGCUUUCGGAGUGAAGUUCAGCUUUUCCACUUACCUUCCUUAGGGGCCGUAUACUUGGUGCCAACACGGCCCGUCGAGCCCCCCUGAUGGUUUCUACUGCCUACAGGUUUACCCGCCUGUUCAUGGACUGCCCUGUUAUCGUCCUCCUAUCGUAAUAUCUGAUCCAUGCCGUAUCAUCUCUGGGUGUGUUUUACUACCUAAAAUGCAUUCAGCUCAGUUUUUAGUGUAUUUUUGAAGCAAUCAUCUAAUAGCUAUCUUUUCCAAAUGCCUACUCUGUGCUAUGUAUUAUGCUACGUAUCUUUACUGAUUCAUGCUUUUACACCACUUUCCGCUGCUAUGGAAAGUAUAUGUGGUGCCACGCCUACACUACAACCAAACUGAAUGAAACUGUCCUUGACAGCUACAAUCUCCUUCUGAUCAAAGUGACUACAAAAAGUUUCCAA